CCUACGGGAGGCAGCAGUGGGGAAUAUUGGGCAAUGGGCGCAACCCUGACCCAGCAACGCCGCGUGAGGGAAGAAGGCUCUCGGUUUGUAAACUUCUUUUAUCAAGGACGAAAAUAAUGACGGUUCUCGAAGAAUAAGCCACUGCGAACUACGCACCAGCAGCCGCGGUAAUACGGAGGUGGCAAGCGUUAUCCGGAUUUACUGGGUGAAAAGGGCGUGUAGGCGGGACUGCAAGUCAGAUGUGAAAACCAGGGGCUCAACCCAUGGCCUGCAUUUGAAACUGUAGUUCUUGAGUGUUGGAGAGGCAGGUGGAAUUCCGUGUGUAGCGGUGAAAUGCGUAGAUAUACGGAGGAACACCAGUGGCGAAGGCGGCCUGCUGGACAAUAACUGACGCUGAGGCGCGAAAGCGUGGGGAGCAAACAGGAUUAGAUACCCGAGUAGUC
This 443-nucleotide ribosomal RNA is filed under the name uncultured bacterium. RNAcentral's name for it is "partial 16S ribosomal RNA". It matches the Rfam family "Bacterial small subunit ribosomal RNA", at positions 338 to 795 of the family's 1533-position model. The record is from RNAcentral.